This 88-nucleotide non-coding RNA is filed under the name unclassified sequences. The record is from RNAcentral.
AAUAUACUGCCACCGGGUAGAAGAGUGUUAAAGCAUUCGUCGCAUAGCGUUAGGUCUUUGAAGCUAUGCCGCGAAUGCUUUUUGAUUG